RNAcentral lists this long non-coding RNA (287 nucleotides) under Homo sapiens (human). Its description in RNAcentral is "HSALNT0079525". The record is from RNAcentral. Lineage: Eukaryota; Metazoa; Chordata; Mammalia; Primates; Hominidae.
UGUAGCUGCUCCAAAAUUCACCAUUCGGGGUAAAGCAAGAUUAUCUGAGGGAAUCUAAUCUAAUCAUGUGAGCCCUUUAAAUGCUGGCAAGAAAAAAAGAAAGUCAGAGAGAUUUGAAGCACAGGGGGGAUUCAAUGCAUCCGUACUGGCUUGAAGAUGAAGGACUCCCCUAAGAAGGAAUGUGGGUGGCCUUAGCAGCUGAGAGAGGCCCCAGCUGACAGCUAGCAAGAAAAUGAUGACUGCAGGCCAGGUGCGGUGGCUCACGUCUUUAAUCUCAGCACUUUGGG